RNAcentral lists this ribosomal RNA (458 nucleotides) under uncultured bacterium. Its description in RNAcentral is "partial 16S ribosomal RNA". It matches the Rfam family "Bacterial small subunit ribosomal RNA", at positions 338 to 795 of the family's 1533-position model. The record is from RNAcentral.
CCUACGGGUGGCAGCAGUGAGGAAUAUUGGUCAAUGGGCGAGAGCCUGAACCAGCCAAGUCGCGUGAGGGAGUACUGCCCUAUGGGUUGUAAACCUCUUUUGUCGGGGAGCAAAAGCCGGACGUGUCCGGCUGUGAGAGUACCCGAAGAAAAAGCAUCGGCGAACCUCGUGCCAGCAGCCGCGGUAAUACGGAGGAUGCGAGCGUUAUCCGGAUUUAUUGGGUUUAAAGGGUGCGCAGGCGGAUUUUUAAGUCAGCGGUAAAAUCGUGGGGCUCAACCCCAUCCAGCCGUUGAAACUGGGGAUCUAGAGUGUGCGAGAGGUAUGCGGAAUGCGUGGUGUAGCGGUGAAAUGCAUAGAUAUCACGCAGAACCCCGAUUGCGAAGGCAGCAUACCGGUGCACAACUGACGCUCAGGCACGAAAGCGUGGGUAUCGAACAGGAUUAGAUACCCUAGUAGUC